UACGAAGGGGGCUAGCGUUGCUCGGAAUCACUGGGCGUAAAGGGUGCGUAGGCGGGUCUUUAAGUCAGGGGUGAAAUCCUGGAGCUCAACUCCAGAACUGCCUUUGAUACUGAAGAUCUUGAGUUCGGGAGAGGUGAGUGGAACUGCGAGUGUAGAGGUGAAAUUCGUAGAUAUUCGCAAGAACACCUGUGGCGAAGGCGGCUCGCUGGGCCGGUCCUGACGCUGAGACGCGAAGGCGUGGGGAGCAAACAGG
Molecule: ribosomal RNA, 253 nt
Filed under: uncultured bacterium
Lineage: Bacteria
Description: partial 16S ribosomal RNA
Rfam family: Bacterial small subunit ribosomal RNA
Source: RNAcentral